CAACUUUUCACUCUCAGCCUCUGGUGCUCCUGAGCGGGGAAGGGAAAUAUUCAACAAGGCUGGUCAGAGAGCUUGACUUAGUAUCCAGAUCCAGUCCCUGAGAUGGGUGCUAAUGGGUCUUGAAGUAUUAAAAUCGAAUGUAUUCCCCAACUGCGCUGAUGCUAUGGAAGUUACAAUAGUUCCUGGGUUAAAAAGAGAGCUUUCUUUUAUCUCCAGAGGCUGAUCCCACUUAGACCCUUCCUAUGCCUGGUUUUGCCAUAAAUCCAGAACAAUAAUCCCCGCUAUGCUGAAAUAUUCACAAGGGGAAUAUCACCGCUGUUAUUUAAGGAAUGCCACAAAAAAAGAAGACAUGGAAAUGCAUGGAGCUCAAGUCUCGGGUACGGCUCGCUUGGGGAAGAAAUGCAUUUUCAGAAAACCACUUCCAGCUGAUGAAACAGGAGGUCAGAGUCCUGGCCAAAGUCAGAAGAUGCAGCUGUGUUUGGGAAGAGGCACCUGUAGAUCUGGGGACCUCACCCUGAGAAACCUGGUGGCCAGGGAAGUGUAAGCCUGACUGACACAGUGAAAAACCCAAUGAAAGGUGAGCUCUGUGUGUUUUACUUCUGACAUGUUUCCAGGUGAGUUAAUAAAAACUCAUUUCAGUUAAUCUACAUCCGUUGGGUAUUGUCUGUGUGUCUUUGUGGCUGAGUGAUGCUUUGGUCA
Long non-coding RNA from Gallus gallus (chicken), 699 nucleotides. RefSeq lists it as uncharacterized. NCBI's taxonomy places the organism in Eukaryota, Metazoa, Chordata, Aves, Galliformes, Phasianidae. The record is from RefSeq and is a predicted model, not a curated record. The transcript has 4 exons.